This 1452-nucleotide ribosomal RNA is filed under the name Chromobacterium alkanivorans. Its description in RNAcentral is "bacterial SSU rRNA". It matches the Rfam family "Bacterial small subunit ribosomal RNA". Lineage: Bacteria; Pseudomonadati; Pseudomonadota; Betaproteobacteria; Neisseriales; Chromobacteriaceae. The record is from RNAcentral.
CUGGAUGAUAGGCUGAUUAGCACAUGCAAGUCCGAGCGGUAACAGGGUGCUUGCGCCGCUUACGAGUGGCGAACGGGUGAGUAACGCACCGGAAUGUACCGUGUAAUGGGGGAUAGCUCGGCGAAAGCCGGAUUAAUACCGCAUACGCCCUGAGGGGGAAAGUGGGGGACCGUAAGGCCUCAAGUUAUACGAGCAGCCUAUGUCUGAUUACCUAGUUGGUGGGGUAAAGGCUCACCAAGGCGACGAUCAGUAGCGGGUCUGAGAGGAUGAUCCGCCACACUGGGACUGAGACACGGCCCAGACUCCUACGGGAGGCAGCAGUGGGGAAUUUUGGACAAUGGGCGCAAGCCUGAUCCAGCCAUGCCGCGUGUCUGAAGAAGGCCUUCGGGUUGUAAAGGACUUUUGUUCGGGAGCAAAUCCUAGUGGUUAAUACCUACUGGGGAUGAGAGUACCGGAUGAAUAAGCACCGGCUAACUACGUGCCAGCAGCCGCGGUAAUACGUAGGGUGCAAGCGUUAGUCGGAAUUACUGGGCGUAAAUCGUGCGCAUGCGGUUGUGCAAGUCUGAUGUGAAAGCCUGAGGCUUAACCUGGGAGCUGCAUUGGAGACUGCACGACUAGAGUGCGUCACAUGGGGGUAGAAUUCCACGUGUAACAUUGAAGUGCGUAGAUAUGCUGAGGAAUACCGAUGGCGAACGCAGCCCCCUGAGAUGACACUGACGCUCAUGCACGACAGCGUGGUGAGCAAACAGGAUUAGAUACCCUGGUAGUCCACGCCCUAAACGAUGUCAACUAGCUGUUGGGGGUUUGAAUCCUUGGUAGCGAAGCUCACGCGAGAAGUUGACCGCCUGUGGAGUACGGCCGCAAGGUUAAGACUCACAGGAAUUGACGGGGACCCGCACAAGCGGUGGAUGAUGUGGAUUAAUUCGAUGCAACGCGAAAAACCUUACCUGGUCUUGACAUGUAACGAAUCCUUGAGAGAUUGAGGAGUGCCCGAAAGGGAGCGUUAACACAGGUGCUGCAUGGCUGUUGUCAGCUCGUGUCGUGAGAUGUUGGGUUAAGUCCCGCAACGAGCGCAACCCUUGCCUUUAGUUGCCAUCAUUAAGUUGGGCACUCUAAUGGGACCGCCGGUGACAAACCGGAGGAAGGUGGGGAUGACGUCAAGUCCUCAUGGCCCUUAUGACCAGGGCUUCACACGUCAUACAAUGGUCGGUACAGAGGGUCGCGAAGCCGCGAGGUGGAGCCAAUCUCAUAAAACCGAUCGUAGUCCGGAUCGCACUCUGCAACUCGAGUGCGUGAAGUGGGAAUCGCUUGUAAUCGCAGAUCAGCAUGCUGCGGUGAAUACGUUCCCGGGUCUUGUACACACCGCCCGUCACCCCAUGGGAGUGAGUUUCACCAGAAGUGGGUAGGCUAACCGUAAGGAGGCCGCCUGCCUCUUGUGUCGUCCUCCCUGGA